UACAGAGACUGCAGGCGUUAUUCGGAUUCACUGGGCGUAAAGGGUGCGCAGGUGGCCAAGUGUGUUAGGCGUGAAAGCCCGGGGCUUAACCCCGGAAUUGCACCUAAAACUACUUGGCUAGAGCAUUGGAGAGGGGAGCAGAAUUCAUGGUGUAGCAGUGAAAUGCGUAGAUAUCAUGAGGAAUACCAGAGGCGAAGGCGGCUCCCUGACAUAGCUGACAACUCAGGCACGAAAGCGUGGGGAGCAAAAGGG
Molecule: ribosomal RNA, 252 nt
Filed under: uncultured bacterium
Lineage: Bacteria
Description: partial 16S ribosomal RNA
Rfam family: Bacterial small subunit ribosomal RNA
Source: RNAcentral